RNAcentral lists this ribosomal RNA (692 nucleotides) under uncultured bacterium. RNAcentral's name for it is "bacterial SSU rRNA". It matches the Rfam family "Bacterial small subunit ribosomal RNA", at positions 59 to 748 of the family's 1533-position model. The record is from RNAcentral.
CAGUCGAACGGAACUGUUUUGAAAGAUUUCUUCGGAAUGAAUUUGAUUUACUUUAGUGGCGGACGGGUGAGUAACGCGUGAGUAACCUGCCUUCAAGAGGGGGAUAACAUUCUGAAAAGAAUGCUAAUACCGCAUGACAUAUCGGAACCACAUGGUUUUGAUAUCAAAGAUUUUAUCGCUUGAAGAUGGACUCGCGUCCGAUUAGUUAGUUGGUGAGGUAACGGCUCACCAAGACCGCGAUCGGUAGCCGGACUGAGAGGUUGAACGGCCACAUUGGGACUGAGACACGGCCCAGACUCCUACGGGAGGCAGCAGUGGGGGAUAUUGCGCAAUGGGGGCAACCCUGACGCAGCAACGCCGCGUGAAGGAUGAAGGUUUUCGGAUUGUAAACUUCUUUUAUUAAGGACGAAAAAUGACGGUACUUAAUGAAUAAGCUCCGGCUAACUACGUGCCAGCAGCCGCGGUAAUACGUAGGGAGCAAGCGUUGUCCGGAUUUACUGGGUGUAAAGGGUGCGUAGGCGGCUUUGCAAGUCAGAUGUGAAAUCUAUGGGCUCAACCCAUAAACUGCAUUUGAAACUGUAGAGCUUGAGUGAAGUAGAGGCAGGCGGAAUUCCCCGUGUAGCGGUGAAAUGCGUAGAGAUGGGGAGGAACACCAGUGGCGAAGGCGGCCUGCUGGGCUUUAACUGACGCUG